This 119-nucleotide ribosomal RNA is filed under the name Pteropus alecto (black flying fox). The record is from RNAcentral. Lineage: Eukaryota; Metazoa; Chordata; Mammalia; Chiroptera; Pteropodidae.
AAAUACAUCAUUAAAAUUAAUUUUGUGCCCGAUCCUGUCUGAUCUUGGAAGCUAAGCAGGGUCGGGUCUGGUUGGUACUUGGAUGGGAGACCACCUAAGAAGACCAGGUGCUGUAGGUG